GGGAAAGAAACAUUAUGGUAAUGUGGUUGGCUUGAAACCAGUUCAGGGGGGUUCGAUUCCUUCCUUUCUCG
This 71-nucleotide transfer RNA is filed under the name Cyclura pinguis. Its description in RNAcentral is "tRNA-Ser". It matches the Rfam family "tRNA". From Rfam's summary of the family: Transfer RNA (tRNA) molecules are approximately 80 nucleotides in length. The record is from RNAcentral. Lineage: Eukaryota; Metazoa; Chordata; Lepidosauria; Squamata; Iguanidae.